Molecule: long non-coding RNA, 4187 nt
Organism: Homo sapiens (human)
Lineage: Eukaryota; Metazoa; Chordata; Mammalia; Primates; Hominidae
Source: Ensembl
ACAGGCGGGCACUCUCUGCGGGUCCCGCGGCUCCCGCGGCUUCCGGCCCACUCAGCGCCUCCAGAGGCCUCAGGUGAGGGUCACCCCCCGCAGCUUGGGGUCACUCCCCUGAGCCCCCGGAUCUUCCCAUGGGUCCUUUGGAGGCCUGGGUUUUGGAGUUUGUCCUUCGUUAAGUGCCGCCCGCCGGGCGCGGCUGCUCCAGGACCACAGACGAGUCUCGCUCUGUUGCCCAGGAUGGAGUGCAGUGGCGCGAUCUCGGCUCGCUGCAAGCUCCGCCUCAGCCUCCGGAGUAGCUGGGACUACAGGAGCCCGCCACCACGCCCAGCUAAUUUUUUUGUAUUUUUAGUAGAGACGGGGUUUCACCGUGUUAGCCAGGAUGGUCUCGAUCUCCUGACCUUGUGAUCCGCCUGCCUCGGCCUCCCAAAGUGCUGGGAUUACAGGCAUUUCGCUGGGGAUGCUACUUGAUCUCUCUUCAGCCUCAGUUUCCUCACCUGGACAGUGGAGCUGAACCCACCCCCCACUAUCUGACCCUGCUCUCUGGGCUGUCUUUUGGGAACCCGCCCUGCUGAGGCCUGCUCCCCACCCUCCAUGGCUGUCAGCCCCCCAGGAGAAGAAUGUCUGCCAUAUGGAGGCUGCUGGCAGCAAAGGGAGAUGAACAAGCCAAGGUUGCCCGGCCUGCAUGCCGGCCCAGGGCUGCUGCUGUGUCUUGCCAUCAACCCUCCCCUGACACCCAGGAUGCCUGCCUCACCCAGAAGCACUCCUACGUCAGGCCUCUGAGGGGGAGCGCUUCAUGCCACUGUUAUCAAAAGAAGAAACCAUCGAAGCAGAAAGGCCAAUGCCACACUAGACAGCCAGGAGCCCAGCAGAACAAGUGGCCCCCUAAGGCACUUUGGGGACCACACCCCGCCACUGACCCCAGCACAGUCUGGUUCCCAGGGCUUCAGGAUCCUCCUGGGGACCUCUCAGCAUGAUUGACACAGGCAGACGGGACCUGAAGGGGCUGCUGGUCCUUCUGAAAAUGUUCACCAGGUAGUGUGAGUGUGGGGAAGCCAUGAACAAUGUGUGGGACUCUACCCUGCACCUGCUCAGAGCCUCAGCCCUUCAGAGCCACUACUAAUGAUUUGCUGUGGGUGGGGUCACCCUGAUACUUCUCUGAGGUGGCUUUUUCUUGCAGUUUUUCUGAGUAACUGACAGGAAUCCUUGACUGCAUGCCGCCUAAACUAGGGUGUGCACAGCCCUCGUUCUGUGCAAAGAGGGUGCAAAGCAGCAGAGUGUCUGUGACCCAUUUGCCACCUAAUGUUACUACAAGAUUUGCAAGAACCGGUCACUUAUCAGUAACCAUUUUUAUUUAAAAAGAUAAAAUAGAGCUUUGCAGGAAAGUGCUGCAGGCUCCCACGUUGCCGGGCAGACGACAACCUGGGCGCCUCGCCCAGCUCCUCCCCACAGCCAUUGGCAUCCACUGUCAGGUUUCAAUGUUCUUGGACCUCAGGGCCUUCGUCCUCUCCAAUCUAAAUGCAGAGAGACAUUUGACAUGGACUCUCUCAGGUGUUUUGCAAAAUGCAACACAUUCUCAUUGACUCUGGUCACUCUGCUGUGCACUACAUGUCAAAACCUCUUCCUCCUCCCUGAGACUUUGGUCCUUUAACUGACAACCCCCCUCCCAUUCCCUCCCUCUGCCACUCUCUGACCCCUGGUCACCAUCGAUCUACUUGCUACUUCUAUGGGGUCAACUUGUUUAGAUCAACACUUCUGGGACCUCACGUGGAAUUGGUCUCUCUGAGGUAGUGGAGAUGCUAAGUAGUGGGAUUUCCUCAUUCCACAUUGUACCCCAUGAAUGAAUACAAGCAUGAUUUGCCAAUUGAAGCAAUACAAUAAAGACAGAAGAAAUGUAAAAUGCAGGAAUUGUGGCUUGACCACCACAACGACUUGAUUUUUGUCUUCAGCCAUGCAACUAUGUUGGGGCGAUCUUAUUCCUCCUUUUCUUUGGUAGAGACAGGCAAAAAUAUUUUAAUAGUAUGCAAAGGCAUCUAUCUCCUGGCAACCCUGCGGCAGCCCCAGCUUCUUGCCGAGCAGGCUGACGUCACAGCCUCAGGCUUCUCAGCUUGGACUUCUCAGCUUGGACGAUGCUGGCUUCCUGGGAUGGUUUUUGGUGUAUCAGGGACGUUUCUAAGACUUCACCAGUUGCUGGUGCUCUGGGUGAAAGGGGAGACAAUAGGGUCAUGCUGGGGGCUUCACUAAAACUUCCUGGCUUCCCCGAUCUGGCUUCCUCUGUAGGCUGGCAGGUGUACUGGCAAGAAUGGCGGUCUUCUGCCCUGACAUCUGGCUUUCUUCGGGAGGCUGAACGUUAAAAGCUGGCUCCCUAUGAGCCCGCAUCAGUGAGAGAGGGAAGGUGGAAAGUUCAGUGGAUGGGGAAGGAGAGGUGGGAACCCCGGGAGGAAGGGACAGUUCUCUGAUGGUGGAGCACUUCCUCUCUUGUUUUGUGUGCUCUAAAAUGAGGUAGCUGGAUUGUUUGGGGUGGUCCAGGAGUGGCUCUUCGUAUGGUAUCAGUGGCAUCUUCUGGCUACUUUUCACCCAUGGAUUUUUCAUCAGUUACAGUGAAGGACACUUCCUGGCGUUCAGCAUUAGUAAUUUUUUAAUGAGUCAAGUUGAAGGGCAAGAAGUGGUGGGGCAUGGUAUCUUCCUGUGAGAAUUUUUUCUUGAAGUUUGGAGGCUUCCCUGAGUAAAAGGGCAAAGUCCUGGCCCUUCUACCUACUGUAUUCCUGAAAUACAGUAUGACACUGAGGCUUUGUAUGUCCCUGGCGGGUCACUGGCAUGCCUGGCCCAGGGAGCGUUCUGGGGCCACGUAGGGGUACAUGCCACAAAAAGCUGUCAGCAUCUGCCCCUCUCUGAAUGUUGUACUGAAGCCAAAGUCCACAAUGUAUGUUGCCUCAUUCUUUGAAUAGGAUGUUUUGUGGCUUUAGGUCUGGAUGUGUGAUUUUUUUUUUUUUUUUAAGUGGCAGUACUGCAGGGCUGACAGAAUCUGCCUGAACAUGGUCCGGGCCUCCUCUUCCUCCUCGAUGUGGCCAUAGUGGUAUAUCUGGUGGUGCAACUCUCCUCCUCUGGUUUACUCCCUCACCACCUGGAAGAGCUGAAUGAUAUUUGGGUGAUGGAAAGUCUUCAAGAUGGCAACCUGGGUCCCAGUUGGCCUAUGCUGAGCCAGUUCCCUAUCAGAUGGUGUCUAUGAACUGAUAGUUUUGUAUCUCCUUGUCAAGUGAGGUGGAGGGUGAUCCCUGCUCCAUGGUGCCUCCCAACUAUACUGACUACAAAUCCUGCCUCUAAAAGCUAUGCUGUGAUGCACAGCACUAACUGUGCUAGCUAGGCUAAGGCCACUGUCGGUGACAAUACCCCAGGCUCCAAACCCUCUGGGUCUGAGGGCCGUUCCCUUCCACGGUUACACAGAUUCCCACCCCUCCCUGCCCAUCUACCCACCAUGCGGGGAAGGUGCCAAGGAGUAGACACAUGGACAGUCGUUCUGGUGUCUCCUGGUGGGGCCAGACUGGGCACCAUGGCUGCAAGCACAGACAGGGCAGAGAAGAGGCCAGGGCCACGUGGUGGAGCUGGGUCUAAAACAGGACUCCCAAGGGCAAAGGCCCUGCCCAGACUUGGCACCCACAGUCUUCUGCUGAAUGCUAUGAGCCCGCUUCAGUGAAAGAGGGAAGGUGGAAACUUCAAUGUAGAGAGGACAAGUGGGAUCCCCAGGAGGAAGGGUCUGUGGUCUGAUAGUGGACCGCUUCUUCUGUUUUGUUUGUUCCAAAACAAGGUAGGUGGCCAUGGGAUAACUGAAUAAUUUUUCUUUGAUUGCCACAGAUAGGUUCUCAGCCUGGAAUCCCAUGGCCACCAAAAGCUGGGUUGUUUUGGGAUUCAGGUGGUCCAGGAUUUGUUCUUCAUGUUGUCAGAGGCAACUCCUGACCACUGUUCACCCACGGGUCCCUCAUAACUUCUUCUAGUGUGGUCUGCUCCCUGGGGUCUACUGUUAAUAGUUUUUUAAUGAGGCUUUUAAGACCUCAGGAAAAGUAGACUGGGGAAAAAUAGCUUCCACUUUAAAUUUUUGCUGAGAGGACCCUAAUGCUGCAUGAGCAGAAGGGCAGAACCCCAGCCACCAUGUGGUAUAAAAUUACUCUGAGGCUCUGAAUAUCCAUGGUGGCACA